CCUGGUGGUUAUAGCGAGAGAGAAACGCCUGAUCCCAUCCCGAACUCAGAAGCUAAGACUCUUUGCGCCGAUGGUACUUUAGCGUUCGCUACGGGAGAGUAGGUCACUGCCAGGA
RNAcentral lists this ribosomal RNA (115 nucleotides) under Mariprofundaceae bacterium. The record is from RNAcentral. Lineage: Bacteria; Pseudomonadati; Pseudomonadota; Candidatius Mariprofundia; Mariprofundales; Mariprofundaceae.